CAGACGACUCUCGACAACGGAUAUCUCGGCUCACGCAUCGAUGAAGAACGUAGCAAAAUGCGAUACUUGGUGUGAAUUGCAGAAUCCCGUGAACCAUCGAGUUUUUGAACGCAGUUGCGCCCGAAACCAUUCGGCUGAGGGCACGUCUGCCUGGGCGUCACGC
Molecule: ribosomal RNA, 163 nt
Filed under: Grindelia fastigiata
Lineage: Eukaryota; Viridiplantae; Streptophyta; Magnoliopsida; Asterales; Asteraceae
Description: 5.8S ribosomal RNA
Rfam family: 5.8S ribosomal RNA
About the family: 5.8S ribosomal RNA (5.8S rRNA) is a component of the large subunit of the eukaryotic ribosome. It is transcribed by RNA polymerase I as part of the 45S precursor that also contains 18S and 28S rRNA. Functionally, it is thought that 5.8S rRNA may be involved in ribosome translocation.
Source: RNAcentral